UCCGGGGUUUCCCCGGCAGUCUCCUAUGAGUGCUCGGCAUAACCCGGUGGCAACAUAGGACGAGGGUUGCGCUCGUUGCGGGACUUAACCCAACACCUCACGGCACGAGCUGACGACGGCCAUGCAACACCUGUCCCGGUUCCCGACUUUACGGGUCGGCAACCCUUUCAAGCGCCUACUUCCGGAAUGUCAAACCCAGGUAAGGUUCUUCGCUUUGCAUCGAAUUAAGCAACGCGCUCCGCCGCUUGUGCGGGCCCCCGUCAAUUCCUUUGAGUUUUAGCCUUGCGGCCGUACUCCCCAGGCGGCGGACUUAAUGCGUUAGCUUCGGCACGGAGGCCAUGACAGCCCCCACACCUAGUCCGCACCGUUUACAGCCAGGACUAC
RNAcentral lists this unclassified non-coding RNA (384 nucleotides) under uncultured Actinomycetes bacterium. RNAcentral's name for it is "uncultured actinobacterium contains 16S-23S intergenic spacer region". Lineage: Bacteria; Bacillati; Actinomycetota; Actinomycetes. The record is from RNAcentral.